UGCAGUCGUACGCACUGGCCCAACUGAUUGAUGGUGCUUGCACCUGAUUGACGAUGGAUCACCAGUGAGUGGCGGACGGGUGAGUAACACGUAGGUAACCUGCCCCGGAGCGGGGGAUAACAUUUGGAAACAGAUGCUAAUACCGCAUAACAACAAAAGCCACAUGGCUUUUGUUUGAAAGAUGGCUUUGGCUAUCACUCUGGGAUGGACCUGCGGUGCAUUAGCUAGUUGGUAAGGUAACGGCUUACCAAGGCGAUGAUGCAUAGCCGAGUUGAGAGACUGAUCGGCCACAAUGGAACUGAGACACGGUCCAUACUCCUACGGGAGGCAGCAGUAGGGAAUCUUCCACAAUGGGCGCAAGCCUGAUGGAGCAACACCGCGUGAGUGAAGAAGGGUUUCGGCUCGUAAAGCUCUGUUGUUGGAGAAGAACGUGCGUGAGAGUAACUGUUCACGCAGUGACGGUAUCCAACCAGAAAGUCACGGCUAACUACGUGCCAGCAGCCGCGGUAAUACGUAGGUGGCAAGCGUUAUCCGGAUUUAUUGGGCGUAAAGCGAGCGCAGGCGGUUGCUUAGGUCUGAUGUGAAAGCCUUCGGCUUAACCGAAGAAGUGCAUCGGAAACCGGGCGACUUGAGUGCAGAAGAGGACAGUGGAACUCCAUGUGUAGCGGUGGAAUGCGUAGAUAUAUGGAAGAACA
RNAcentral lists this ribosomal RNA (695 nucleotides) under Lactobacillus sp. JCM 5867. Its description in RNAcentral is "bacterial SSU rRNA". It matches the Rfam family "Bacterial small subunit ribosomal RNA", at positions 56 to 708 of the family's 1533-position model. The record is from RNAcentral. Lineage: Bacteria; Bacillati; Bacillota; Bacilli; Lactobacillales; Lactobacillaceae.